This 501-nucleotide ribosomal RNA is filed under the name uncultured bacterium. RNAcentral describes it as "partial 16S ribosomal RNA". It matches the Rfam family "Bacterial small subunit ribosomal RNA", at positions 29 to 523 of the family's 1533-position model. The record is from RNAcentral.
AUUGAACGCUGGCGGCAUGCCUUACACAUGCAAGUCGAACGGCAGCACGGGUGCUUGCACCUGGUGGCGAGUGGCGAACGGGUGAGUAAUACAUCGGAACGUACCUUAUCGUGGGGGAUAACGCAGCGAAAGCUGUGCUAAUACCGCAUACGCCCUGAGGGGGAAAGCGGGGGAUCGCAAGACCUCGCGCGAUUAGAGCGGCCGAUGCCUGAUUAGCUAGUUGGUGGGGUAAAAGCCCACCAAGGCGACGAUCAGUAGCUGGUCUGAGAGGACGAGCAGCCACACCGGGACUGAGACACGGCCCAGACUCCUACGGGAGGCAGCAGUGGGGAAUUUUGGACAAUGGGGGCAACCCUGAUCCAGCAAUGCCGCGUGAGUGAAGAAGGCCUUCGGGUUGUAAAGCUCUUUUGUCAGGGAAGAAACACCGGCUCUAACACAGUCCGGGAAUGACGGUACCUGAAGAAUAAGCACCGGCUAACUACGUGCCAGCCGCCGCAGUAA